CGGGGCCCGCACAAGCGGUGGAUGAUGUGGUUUAAUUCGAUGCAACGCGAAAAACCUUACCCACCUUUGACAUGUACGGAACCCUUUUAGAGAUAGAGGGGUGCUCGAAAGAGAGCCGUAACACAGGUGCUGCAUGGCUGUCGUCAGCUCGUGUCGUGAGAUGUUGGGUUAAGUCCCGCAACGAGCGCAACCCUUGUCAUUAGUUGCUACAUUCAGUUGGGCACUCUAAUGAGACUGCCGGUGACAAGCCGGAGGAAGGUGGGGAUGACGUCAAGUCCUCAUGGCCCUUAUAGGUGGGGCUACACACGUCAUACAAUGGCUGGUACAAAGGGUUGCCAACCCGCGAGGGGGAGCCAAUCCCAUAAAGCCAGUCGUAGUCCGGAUCGUAGUCUGCAACUCGACUACGUGAAGUCGGAAUCGCUAGUAAUCGUGGAUCAGAAUGUCACGGUGAAUACGUUCCCGGGUCUU
This 468-nucleotide ribosomal RNA is filed under the name uncultured Rhodoferax sp. RNAcentral's name for it is "bacterial SSU rRNA". It matches the Rfam family "Bacterial small subunit ribosomal RNA", at positions 916 to 1381 of the family's 1533-position model. Lineage: Bacteria; Pseudomonadati; Pseudomonadota; Betaproteobacteria; Burkholderiales; Comamonadaceae. The record is from RNAcentral.